This 260-nucleotide long non-coding RNA is filed under the name Elaeis guineensis (African oil palm). Its description in RNAcentral is "long non-coding RNA (EGUI_LNC071429)". The record is from RNAcentral. Lineage: Eukaryota; Viridiplantae; Streptophyta; Magnoliopsida; Arecales; Arecaceae.
CUCUAAAGCCGCUAAGAAAGCUUUCUAGUCCAAAAAAUUUAUUGUGGAGCUGGGUGUGAUGCCAUCAGAUACCAUUGCACUGCACUGCGACAACAACGGUGCCAUAGCCCUCACUAAAGAGCUCAGAUCUCACUAGAAGUCAAAGCAUAUAGAGCGACGGUUCUAUAUCAUAUGCGAAUACCUCGAUAAGAAGUUCAUCGAAAUAUAGAGAGUCAACUCUAUAUAGAACAUGACGAACCUAUUAACCAAGCCUCUCAGCC